This 250-nucleotide ribosomal RNA is filed under the name uncultured delta proteobacterium. Its description in RNAcentral is "partial 16S ribosomal RNA". It matches the Rfam family "Bacterial small subunit ribosomal RNA", at positions 524 to 773 of the family's 1533-position model. RNAcentral also lists the same sequence under 1 other name. Lineage: Bacteria; Deltaproteobacteria. The record is from RNAcentral.
UACGGAGGGUGCAAGCGUUGUUCGGAAUCAUUGGGCGUAAAGCGCGUGUAGGCGGCUUGGCAAGUCAGUUGUGAAAGCCCGGGGCCCAACCCCGGAACUGCAUCUGAAACUGCCUGGCUAGAGUCCCGGAGAGGAAGGCAGAAUUCCCGGUGUAGGGGUGAAAUCCGUAGAUAUCGGGAGGAAUACCAGCGGCGAAGGCGGCCUUCUGGACGGUGACUGACGCUGAGACGCGAAAGCGUGGGGAGCAAAC